Molecule: long non-coding RNA, 1295 nt
Filed under: Homo sapiens (human)
Lineage: Eukaryota; Metazoa; Chordata; Mammalia; Primates; Hominidae
Description: HSALNT0330557
Source: RNAcentral
AGCAACAUGGUGAGACUCCUGAGACUCUGUCUCAAAAAAAAAAAACAAAAAAACAAAAGAGAGGCUAGGAUCUGGCAUGAGGCCGACUGAGAUUCACAUAUCCUGGUUCCAGCCUUUUUGUGCAGGUAUGACCCUGGGCAAGUUGUUUAAACUCCCUAAGCUGUGUUUUUCUCAUCGGGAAAGGAGAUAAUAGCAACUUCCUCAUAAUCUGCUGGGAGUUAUGGAAUAUGUGCCAAGCAUCUGACACCAGGAUUUGUCAUCUAUAACAAGUUUCUGGGUGAUGUCAAUGCUGCUGCGCUGAGGACCCCACUUGAAGACCCGCUGGAUAAGGCCACUCACAGUGGAUGCUCUCUGACAACACAGUCAGCAGCUCCAGGACAGAGUGUUCCAAGUCCACCUGAGCCUGGGCCACGCCAGUUCCUGGGCCUGCUUAGGUUGAAGGGAUUUUUUUUUUUGUGGUUUGAAUAAACUAAUUUUUGGCUAAAAGCACUGAUACAAUUUGUUUUUCACGGAGAGCAAAGAGAAGAUAGGCUCCAAGUAACAACUUCCAAUUAAUCUAUCAGUCUGAAAGUUUACAUUAUUAAUAGGCUUAUCAUUUUGAUUUAACAAAUGGUAUAGACAUCCUCAGACAUGCAGAAAAAACAGUGCUUGCUGUCCAUCAUUCUUUUCAUCAAGAAGGUGCAACUCACUGGAUACCAGUGAGAUAAUUUAUGUAAAAUUGUUUAACACAAUGUCUUUCAAAGAACAAAUUAUAAUAAUUUAUGUUAUUGUGUUUACUGAACAAAUGUUCAUUGAGCCCUUAUAAAGUGACAGAAUGCUUGAUGUCAGGUUUUCUCCACUUCAACAAUGAUUGACAUGUUGGGUUGGGUAAUUCUUUGUUGUGGGAGAUCUCCUUUGCAUUGUAGGAUGUUUGGCAGCAUACCUGGCCUCUCCCAGUUAAUGCCAGUAGCACCCCCAGUGUGACAAUAAAAAAUGUCUCCUGACAUUGCUAAACGUCCCCUGGGGAAAAAUUGCUGUUGGUUGAGAACUACUGAUUUACAUGAAGAGUCUUAUUUCAUCUUUGCAACACCCAACAAAAUUAGCUGUUAUUUGUUUAUUUUAGAGAUGGGAGAAAAGAGGAUCAGAGAGUUGAGCAAUUUGCUGAAAGCCACACAGGUAGUAAAGAAGCAGGAGUGGAGUUUGAACCCAGGACUGACAAUCCAGAGCCUCAGUCUCGACCACUAUUUUUGCUUCUUAAGAGUAUACAUUUAAGAAUGUAUAGAAGAGGCUAGGUGCGGUGGCUCACGCCUGUAAUC